RNAcentral lists this ribosomal RNA (466 nucleotides) under uncultured bacterium. Its description in RNAcentral is "partial 16S ribosomal RNA". It matches the Rfam family "Bacterial small subunit ribosomal RNA", at positions 28 to 507 of the family's 1533-position model. The record is from RNAcentral.
GAUGAACGCUGGCGGCGUGCUUAACACAUGCAAGUCGAACGGAAAGGCCCUUGCUUGCAGGGGUACUCGAGUGGCGAACGGGUGAGUAACACGUGGGUGAUCUGCCCUGCACUUCGGGAUAAGCCUGGGAAACUGGGUCUAAUACCGGAUAGGACCAUCGUUUAGUGUCGGUGGUGGAAAGUUUUUUCGGUGUGGGAUGAGCUUGCGGCCUAUCAGCUUGUUGGUGGGGUAAUGGCCUACCAAGGCGUCGACGGGUAGCCGGCCUGAGAGGGUGUACGGCCACAUUGGGACUGAGAUACGGCCCAGACUCCUACGGGAGGCAGCAGUGGGGAAUAUUGCACAAUGGGCGCAAGCCUGAUGCAGCGACGCCGCGUGGGGGAUGACGGCCUUCGGGUUGUAAACUCCUUUCGUCAGGGACGAAGCGAAAGUGACGGUACCUGGAGAAGAAGCACCGGCUAACUACGUG